AUAACGAGAUGGGAAGCGGCUGGCUUCCCGUGUAUGAUGAACCCGCAAGGCGCGCAGCCCUGAGGGUUCAUUUUU
RNAcentral lists this small RNA (75 nucleotides) under Phytobacter massiliensis. RNAcentral's name for it is "sroE RNA". It matches the Rfam family "sroE RNA". From Rfam's summary of the family: This family consists of a number of bacterial sroE RNA genes of around 90 bases in length. sroE is found in several Enterobacterial species but its function is unknown. Lineage: Bacteria; Pseudomonadati; Pseudomonadota; Gammaproteobacteria; Enterobacterales; Enterobacteriaceae. The record is from RNAcentral.